This 451-nucleotide ribosomal RNA is filed under the name uncultured bacterium. RNAcentral describes it as "bacterial SSU rRNA". It matches the Rfam family "Bacterial small subunit ribosomal RNA", at positions 28 to 492 of the family's 1533-position model. The record is from RNAcentral.
GACGAACGCUGGCGGCGCGCCUAACACAUGCAAGUCGAACGAGAGAUGAGGAGCUUGCUCUUCAAAUCGAGUGGCGAACGGGUGAGUAACGCGUGAGGAACCUGCCUCAAAGAGGGGGACAACAGUUGGAAACGACUGCUAAUACCGCAUAAGCCCACGGCUCGGCAUCGAGCAGAGGGAAAAGGAGCAAUCCGCUUUGAGAUGGCCUCGCGUCCGAUUAGCUAGUUGGUGAGGUAAUGGCCCACCAAGGCGACGAUCGGUAGCCGGACUGAGAGGUUGAACGGCCACAUUGGGACUGAGACACGGCCCAGACUCCUACGGGAGGCAGCAGUGGGGAAUAUUGCACAAUGGGGGAAACCCUGAUGCAGCGACGCCGCGUGGAGGAAGAAGGUCUUCGGAUUGUAAACUCCUGUUGUUGAGGAAGAUAAUGACGGUACUCAACAAGGAAGUG